UGGUGAGGUAGAGGUUGCGAAAUUCACGAUUAACGGUUAACGAGGCGCAUGACACGCCAAUGACUAACCGCGAAAAGGAUGCUCGCCGAAGUGAAAAUAGGUGUCAGACUAUUUAAGCUGGGGCUGUUAUCGAAAGAAACAGAACUGCUGUUUUUGCCAAUAGCUUGGCGGGACGGGUGUGCUAUCUAAUGC
RNAcentral lists this non-coding RNA (192 nucleotides) under Listeria booriae. Its description in RNAcentral is "Lysine riboswitch aptamer". It matches the Rfam family "Lysine riboswitch aptamer". From Rfam's summary of the family: Riboswitches are metabolite binding domains within certain messenger RNAs that serve as precision sensors for their corresponding targets. Allosteric rearrangement of mRNA structure is mediated by ligand binding, and this results in modulation of gene expression. This family includes riboswitches that sense lysine in a number of genes involved in lysine metabolism, including lysC. RNAcentral also lists the same sequence under 1 other name. The record is from Rfam by way of RNAcentral. Lineage: Bacteria; Bacillati; Bacillota; Bacilli; Caryophanales; Listeriaceae.